UUGGGAAUCAUUGGCAAUGGGGGAAACCCUGACCAUGCGACGCCGCGUGGAGGACGAAAGAUCUAGGUCUGUAAACUCCUUUUGCACGGAAAGACUUAGGACGGUACCGUGCGAAUAAGCUCCGGCUAACUACGUGCCAGCAGCCGCGGUAAGACGUAGGGAGCAAGCGUUGUCCGGAUUUACUGGGCGUAAAGAGCGCGUAGGCGGUCUGUUAAGUGAGAAGUGAAAUCUCCAGGGCUCAACCCGGAAACUGCUUUUCAUACUGGCAGACUUGAGGAAUGCAGAGGUGUGUGGAAUUCCUGGUGUAGCGGUGAAAUGCAUUGAUAUCAGGAGGAACACCCAUGGCGAAGGCAGCACACUGGGCAUUAUCUGACGCUGAGGCGCGAAAGCGUGGGUAGCA
This 400-nucleotide ribosomal RNA is filed under the name uncultured bacterium. RNAcentral describes it as "bacterial SSU rRNA". It matches the Rfam family "Bacterial small subunit ribosomal RNA", at positions 355 to 770 of the family's 1533-position model. The record is from RNAcentral.